CAAUUAAUAAUUUCACCCAAUACGUACAGGAAAUAACGUCAUAAUAAUAUUGGUACCCAUGGCAACUAGAUUCCAGCAACACCACCACAUCUUGAAGGCAAGAUGGAGGAUAUCUGUAUUCUGUACUGCACCUCCUGGGUCUAUACUCCACUACUGUGGCGUCAGCGGCACAGCUACUAGUGUUGAGCUUACUAUUUAGGCCUGACUGUGUCACCAUUAAGCAAUAUAUAUUAUUCAAGAACCUUUAGUAUUAUGGAUCACUGUAAGUGCUUGUCAUAUUUGUGUAUUACUGUUACUAUUAUUAUGCCUUAUUACUAUAAUUACUAUAUUGUCUAUUAUUCAAUGCCCUUUGUAGCAUUUAUCUGUCAUUAACUUGUUAACAUUAAGCUCUUUCUUUAUGUCUCUAACCCUUCCUAUAGUACAUACCCAGGGUUUCCCACUAAGCAUGCUAAGUGAGCUAAACAGUAUUCUUCAUGAGUUGAAAAGCACAUGUAUGUACAUGUACAGACAUUCGUACAUGUAUAUGGCAUUUGGAGCAACUUUAAAAAUUUGUAAAAAAC
Long non-coding RNA from Amphimedon queenslandica, 560 nucleotides. RefSeq lists it as uncharacterized. Lineage: Eukaryota; Metazoa; Porifera; Demospongiae; Haplosclerida; Niphatidae. The transcript is spliced from 3 exons. The record is from RefSeq and is a predicted model, not a curated record.